GAUGAACGCUGGCGGCGUGCCUAACACAUGCAAGUCGAGCGAACACAUGAGGAGCUUGCUCCUCCGACGUCAGCGGCGGACGGGAGAGGAACACAUGGAUAACCUAACUAUCCGACUGGGAUACCUACGGGAGACCGGAUCUACUACCCGAUAAUAUAUUGAACCGGAUUGGUCCCUCGUGAAAGUCGCUUGUUCGUUCGGUUAUAGAUUGCCCCGGCCCGCAUUCACUAGUGGGGAAGGUAACUGCUUACCAAGGCUACGACGGUUAGCCGACCUCAGAGGGUGGUCAGCCACCCUGGAUGUGAGACAGGGUACAGACACCUACGGUAGGAAGCAGUCGAGAAUCUUACGCAAGGGGGGAAAGCCUGACGGAGCAACGCGGCGGGAAUGAUGAAGGUGUUCGGAUGGGAAAACUCUGAUGUUAGGGAGGAAGAAAAGUGUAAGUAACUAGGCACAUAUUGACAGUACCGGGACAAAAAGCCACGGCUAACUACGUG
RNAcentral lists this ribosomal RNA (497 nucleotides) under uncultured bacterium. Its description in RNAcentral is "partial 16S ribosomal RNA". It matches the Rfam family "Bacterial small subunit ribosomal RNA", at positions 28 to 507 of the family's 1533-position model. The record is from RNAcentral.